This 484-nucleotide ribosomal RNA is filed under the name uncultured bacterium. Its description in RNAcentral is "partial 16S ribosomal RNA". It matches the Rfam family "Bacterial small subunit ribosomal RNA", at positions 29 to 507 of the family's 1533-position model. The record is from RNAcentral.
AUUGAACGCUGGCGGCAUGCUUUACACAUGCAAGUCGAACGGCAGCGCGGGCUUCGGCCUGGCGGCGAGUGGCGAACGGGUGAGUAAUACAUCGGAACGUGCCCAGUAGUGGGGGAUAGCUCGGCGAAAGCCGGAUUAAUACCGCAUACGACCUGCGGGUGAAAGCGGGGGAUCUUCGGACCUCGCGCUAUUGGAGCGGCCGAUGGCAGAUUAGCUAGUUGGUGGGGUAAAGGCCUACCAAGGCGACGAUCUGUAGCUGGUCUGAGAGGACGACCAGCCACACUGGGACUGAGACACGGCCCAGACUCCUACGGGAGGCAGCAGUGGGGAAUUUUGGACAAUGGGCGAAAGCCUGAUCCAGCAAUGCCGCGUGUGUGAUGAAGGCCUUCGGGUUGUAAAGCACUUUUGGCGGGAACGAAAAGGACUGUGCCAAUACCACGGUUCGAUGACGGUACCCGCAGAAUAAGUACCGGCUAACUACGUG